UUUCUAUCGGCGCUGGUUUGGAAUCCGUUGGGCCACGUAUUGUACUCCCGCUGCAGAUGGUGACCUGUGGAACCCAGAGGAGUACCUUCUUGUUGAUCGCCACGUGUUGGGAGCCGCUAGAGAACGUCACUACAGUAUUCUGCAUGUUAUUCACCAGUUAUUUUUCCUUUCACGUCUGUUAUGCUGAAAGAUUGUAGUCUACUUUGGAAUUCGUUCAAAGGGCACUUUUGGUAUUAACCCAGACCAUGGAAGCAAGGCUGAGAAAAAAAGCAAGGAAAGAGAACCCAAAAAUAUUCAGUUUGACGAAAAAAUCAUGGAUUCUGAAUGGAAUGUUUACGAGGCAUCAGAGAAAUGUAAUUGGAGAGUCUUUUAAGUAAAAAUUUGUAGUGAAUUAUUUAGCAAUUUGAAAUUUUGUGAUGAUAACGUUUUAUUUUUUGAAUCACGAGACAAC
Long non-coding RNA from Rhipicephalus sanguineus (brown dog tick), 451 nucleotides. RefSeq lists it as uncharacterized. The transcript has 4 exons. The record is from RefSeq and is a predicted model, not a curated record. NCBI's taxonomy places the organism in Eukaryota, Metazoa, Arthropoda, Arachnida, Ixodida, Ixodidae.